CAGCUAUUUGUUUUCCUUAGGAAUUGUUUCAAAACAUAGGAACGUAUAAUGAAGGGCAAUUUAUUGUAUGGAAGGGAGAGAUAUUUUCUUGCCUCAUUUAGUUCUGGUAAAGAAGCUGGCUUAACUCUAGUUAAUGUGUUUCCAUUUAGAUUUACUUUCAAAAGGGGAACAUCUUUCCUCUGGCCUUCAGCUUUAUUUAACCUCUGGAGAUGGAAGGAAAAAUUAAAUGUGAUUAAGGAAAGUAAGAGAUCCAAGAAACACAGAAACUACCAAAUUGGCCUUAGGAGAAAUAGAAAAUCUGAACAGACCUAUAACAAAUAAAGAGAUUGAAUCAGUAAUAAAAAACCUCCCAAGAAAAAAAGCCCAGGAUCAGAUGCCUUCACUGGUGAAUACCAGAUGAAUGUAAAAUUAGUGUGGCUUAAAGAUGAGGGAGAAUAUUUCAUAUGGUAAAGGGGCUUAUAUUGUAUCCUAAGGAAUGGGUAGGCAUUGGUCACAGAUGAGAUGAGUAGAGUCAUUACUUGCAAGUAAGGAACAGAAUGAAAUGGACACAGCAGGGAGGAUAGAGAUAAUGACAACUUUGUUCAGUGUAAUGGUUUAUGUUGUACAGGAAAUUGAUAAUGGAUAUGUAGGUUAGGGCCAAACAAAUGAAGUUCUUAAAUGGUAAUGUGAAGAGUUAGGACAUUAUCCUAGAUGGGAUCAAUUAGAAGAUUGUGGGCAAGGCUAUGAUAUUACAAAAGCAGAUUUUUAGAAGAUACAUUUAAUUGUAUUCAUGAUGAAUUGAAAACAUGGGAGAACAUAAUAGAUGACUGGUUAGGAGGUUUUGAUGGUGAUUCAGGCAAGAUUAUCAUAGAAAAGGAUGAUUACACUGAGAUUGAAAGAAAACAAUUAUAUGGACAUGAAACUUGGUGGCCAAUAACUUAUAAAAGGUGAAUUAGAGUUGAAAAACUAUUAGAUGAUUCCAAGGUUUAUAAGAUGAAAAACUAGAAGGACAGUGGAAACACUAUCAAAAAUGGAGGGACUAGGGCAAAAAACCAGAUUUGCAGUAUGAACAAUGAAUGCAACUGGACAUUCAGAGUUUGAGAUCCUAGGAGCAUAUCAGGGUGGAAAUUUCCUAUAGGGCAAAUAUCCAGGACAGGAUUUAGAGAGAAAAUCCAGGUUAGGGGAUAUAGAUUUGAAAAUCAUUGCUUGACCACUUCUAGUAGUCUCCCAAAGGGUUUCAGAGAGCUCUAGAUAAGUGACGUAAAUAGUACUUUAAAUCAUUAUUUAAUGGGGGAACUCUUCACCUUUCCUCUUGCAUUUGUGUAUUCCAGCCAGAAUGAAGAAACAGAGAUGUGCUAUGAGAUACAGAGGAGUGCUCCCAUAGAGUACCACCCCACAACAUUCCUAGAAAAGAUCUGGAAGAACCAUGAAAAAUCAAUCAGAGUGAUGAGCAUUCAGUGGUCAUUCCUGCAGGCAGCCUUUCCUAAACAGCAAGGGAUGGCUGAGUCCAAUUCAAGUCAGCCCCUUAAACCUUACCUGCUUUGAUAGGAGUUUUGGUUAACGAUAACAAGAGGAAGGGAUUAGAGUGGAAGAUAAAGAAAGCUGUUGGCCUAGUGCUCUCUGUAAUUCUGUACUCAGAAUAAAUGAGAAACAUAUUGGAAAAUA
Long non-coding RNA from Acinonyx jubatus (cheetah), 1644 nucleotides. RefSeq lists it as uncharacterized. The transcript has 2 exons. The record is from RefSeq and is a predicted model, not a curated record. NCBI's taxonomy places the organism in Eukaryota, Metazoa, Chordata, Mammalia, Carnivora, Felidae.